GGAAGGAUUGGAAGCAGCAUCCCUAUGGGAGCGGGAGUGAGGGAAGAGGACCGGACCAGAGGAGAAGUUGAACCGCGGCGUAGCUACAACAGAAUCAUCAGCUGAUCCCAGGGGGAGAUCUCCAGCGGGGAUGGCCCUUCCGAGUUGUCCUGAAGAGAGGCCCUCAGUGGAUUGGAUGAGGCCCACGCACUUUCGGGAGGAAAACUGGCUUUACUGAGCCCAUUAAUUCAAAUGCCAGUCUCUUCUGGAAACACCCUCACAGACGCACCCAGAAGUAAGAUGUAAUCCGGCCAACCCACUGCCCGGUCGGUCAAGCUGACACAAAAUUGAGUUAACCAUCACAUACAGCCUUUAAAACAGCAUCCCGAAGUAUUUGAAGCAUUUAGCACCGGGGGCGACAGCUUAUCACCUGCUGAUAAGAGAAACAAGCCACGUGAAGGGAGACAGCAGAGAAGGCUGCAGACAGUCUGUGCAACUUUUACUCGCGCUUGCUUCGGGGUUACGGAUCAUCCGUUAUUGUUUUUACAUUUCUUUACAUUUUUCUGCAUUUGCCGUACUUUCCGCAAUGAACGGGGAUCGCUGUGAUGAGGAAAGGAAGGAAGAAAGCAAACCCCGGGGGCUCAGGCAGUACUGGAAUCUCUUCGCCGCCCAGAAGAAUCAGUUCAGGGGGGGUGCCUCCACACCUCGGGCCGUGGCCAUGUGGCUGUCCUCUUCCUGUAGACCUUCAGCUGGACCAGCGGCCACAUCCCCCUCCUCAGUGACCCCUCAGACAGGGGAGAAUCAAGGUGCCACAGGGCAGGCGGGAAUUCUGCCUGGGACUGGGGUGCUGGGGGUGGGUCCUAGGGGGUCCCUCACAACUGUGACCCACCCCAGGAGCCCUGGGUGAGGCCAAAUGGAGGGGUGUGGGGGAAAGGGAAGGCACACGAGAACUGGGCCUCGGCCCCCUCUGACCGCCUCUUGUCUGCCCUUCUCCACGCUCAGCCCAAGGCAACUGUCAGGAGUUGUCACGUGCCCUCUGUGAAAUCGCCUGGGAACACGGGGAGGGGACAUAACCCGGUCCUGUCCUCCUGUGGCAGGCUCAGGGAGGGCAGAGAGAGGCAUGGAGACGGGGGGUAGGGGCAGCGCGGGAGGCGAUGCGGGCUCUGCAGGAGAACCACAUGCGGCAGGGGAGGCCCUGCCAAGGUCCCUUGUGUUUGCAGGCAGUUUCCCUGAGAGGCCCUUGACCAUGGCGAGUUCCUGCGACUGCGGCCACCACACUAAGACCGAGCCGUCUUCCACCUCCUGGAGUCUCUCUGGAUGGCCAACGUGAACUGCCAGGGAAAAGUCACAGGCAAACAGGGCUCCCUGGCUGCCCAGGAGAAUGGCCAACAGGAUGGAACUAGGGCUGCAGAGGAAGGACUUUGGACAAGACCCCGUAUCGUUUUUGCAGCAUCCUGGAUGGCCAGCUCUGGGGCAAGCUGCUCGCCUGGGCAAGCUUGCCGGGCAAGCAAGCCGGGGUGGGGGCUUGUGAAGUUGGCAACAGGCUGUAGUGCUGGAGGAGGAGGAGGAAGAAGAAGAGAUCCUGGUGAGUAUAAUCAGUAGAACGGAGCAGAAACAGGAGUGACCUGGGGCCUCCCACCUCUCCCAUCCCUUCUCCCCCCCCCUCCCCCCACCUCCCAGGCCCCAGCGGGAGGGGAUUGCCAGAUUUAGCAAAUCAAAAUACGGGGUGCCCAGUUGAAUGUGAAUUACAGAUAAACAACAGAUCAUUUUUUAGUACAAGUAUAUCCCAGACAAACAACAGAGAAAUAUUGCAUGGGACAUACUCCUGCUAAAUACAUCUACUGGUAAACUUUUAGACCUGAGUGUAGGGUAAUAUUUCUGUGGGCAGGAGCCUUUCAAAUAUCCCUUCAAAUCUUAAUGCUCAGAUGAAAAAUUGCUGGUUUGCUAUGCUCGGAUUAUUAUAUUAUUAUUAUUGCUUGGUUUGCCUGCUGACAGCAACAGUGUGCGAUAAUAAUAGGAUCGCUCACAGACUUGUAGUGAGAUUGAAAUGAGUUCAAUGUAAAGCACUUCUUAGAGGUUCUGGAGUCUUCAGGGUUCAACGAGCUAAGGAGAAAGGAGGAGGCUUUGCAGGGAGCUAGACCCCAGGUGACAGGCACCUGCAUCCCCUGCUAGUGGCCGACAUUCAGUUCCCGGUGGGGCGGUGGGGGCGGGGACAAGAAAGAGGGCCAGAAGCGCGGGUGUCUGCAGGGCGGGGCUGGCCUGGGACGAGGCAAAGGGACCCGAGGGCCUGCGCGGGGGUGCGUCUAUCCCCCUUCGCCCCAUCUGCUUCGCUGGACUCUGCGUUGCUGAC
This is a long non-coding RNA of Lynx canadensis (Canada lynx), 2329 nucleotides long. RefSeq lists it as uncharacterized. Lineage: Eukaryota; Metazoa; Chordata; Mammalia; Carnivora; Felidae. The transcript is spliced from 3 exons. The record is from RefSeq and is a predicted model, not a curated record.